This 445-nucleotide ribosomal RNA is filed under the name uncultured bacterium. RNAcentral describes it as "bacterial SSU rRNA". It matches the Rfam family "Bacterial small subunit ribosomal RNA", at positions 331 to 793 of the family's 1533-position model. The record is from RNAcentral.
CCAGACUCCUACGGGAGGCAGCAGUGGGGAAUAUUGCACAAUGGGGGAAACCCUGAUGCAGCGACGCCGCGUGAGCGAUGAAGUAUUUCGGUAUGUAAAGCUCUAUCAGCAGGGAAGAAGAUGACGGUACCUGACUAAGAAGCCCUGGCUAACUACGUGCCAGCAGCCGCGGUAAUACGUGGGGGGCAAGCGUUAUCCGGAUUUACUGGGUGUAAAGGGAGCGUAGACGGCGAUGCAAGCCAGAUGUGAAAGCCCGGGGCUCAACCCCGGGACUGCUCUUGGAACUGCAUGGCUGGAGUACAGGAGGGGCAGGCGGAAUUCCUAGUGUAGCGGUGAAAUGCGUAGAUAUUAGGAGGAACACCAGUGGCGAAGGCGGCCUACUGGACGGUGACUGACGCUGAGGCUCGAAAGCGUGGGGAGCAAACAGGAUUAGAUACCCCCGUAU